This 340-nucleotide unclassified non-coding RNA is filed under the name soil metagenome. Its description in RNAcentral is "partial contains 5.8S ribosomal RNA, internal transcribed spacer 2, and large subunit ribosomal RNA". The stretch from base 1 to 120 matches the Rfam family "5.8S ribosomal RNA", at positions 35 to 154 of the family's 154-position model. The record is from RNAcentral.
GACGAAGAACGUAGCGAAACGCGAUAAGUAAUGUGAAUUGCAGAGUUCAGUGAAUCAUCGAAUCUUUGAACGCACAUUGCGCCCGUCAGUAUUCUGACGGGCAUGCCUGUCCGAGCGUCAUUUCAACCCUCAAGCACUGCUUGGCGUUGGCGGAUUGCGUGCCCUCGCGGCGCUGCAACCGCCCAAAUACAGUGGCGGUCCCGCUGCGGCUCCCUUUGCGUAGUAACUCACCUCGCACUGGACCGGGCGGCGGCCUGCCGUAAAACCCCAACUCACGAAAUGUUGACCUCGGAUCAGGUAGGAAUACCCGCUGAACUUAAGCAUAUCAAUAAGCGGAGGA